GAAGAAGAAGAAGAAGAAGAAGGCUGUUAAUCAUAGACUAAAAGUGUUAUCUUCAAUAGAAGGAGAUUGCUAUAUAAAAGCUUCCGUCUGUGCUUUGUCUCAAUUGGUACUAUAAUCUCAUCAAUAGAAUUCAGCUGCUUCAAUAUGUAAAUACAAAUUAUAAAUCCAAAAUCUAUAAGAUGGCAACAGAUCAAAAUAAUAAAAAUAAACAGUUGCAGUUCUUUUUGUAAAAUAAUAAAAAUUUGUGGCAACAGAUAUUACCAGUAUGAGGCAAGCAAUCUCACCUCUUGGCACAGAUCUAAAGCAAGUCGAACUCCAGUGCUUCCUUCUCGUGGUUAUCUUUCACUUCCAAGUUGAUCACCAGCACACUUUUCAUAAGAGCU
This 383-nucleotide unclassified non-coding RNA is filed under the name Hevea brasiliensis (rubber tree). The record is from RNAcentral. Lineage: Eukaryota; Viridiplantae; Streptophyta; Magnoliopsida; Malpighiales; Euphorbiaceae.